GGUUACUGCUAUCGGUGUUCGCCUAAGCCAUGCGAGUCAUAUGUUCGUAAGAACAUGGCGUACUGCUCAGUAACACGUGGAUAACCUGCCCUUGGGUCCGGCAUAACCCCGGGAAACUGGGGAUAAUUCCGGAUAACGCACAUAUGCUGGAAUGCUUUAUGCGUAAAAUGGAUUCGUCUGCCCAAGGAUGGGUCUGCGGCCUAUCAGGUAGUAGUGGGUGUAAUGCACCUACUAGCCUACGACGGGUACGGGUUGUGAGAGCAAGAGCCCGGAGAUGGAUUCUGAGACAUGAAUCCAGGCCCUACGGGGCGCAGCAGGCGCGAAAACUUUACAAUGCGGGAAACCGUGAUAAGGGGACACCGAGUGCCAGCAUCCUAUGCUGGCUGUCCGGGUGUGUAAAAUACACCUGUUAGCAAGGGCCGGGCAAGACCGGUGCCAGCCGCCGCGGUAACACCGGCGGCCCGAGUGGUGAUCGUGAUUAUUGGGUCUAAAGGGUCCGUAGCCGGUUUGGUCAGUCCUCCGGGAAAUCUGACAGCUUAACUGUUAGGCUUUCGGAGGAUACUGCCAGACUUGGAACCGGGAGAGGUAAGAGGUACUACGGGGGUAGGAGUGAAAUCUUGUAAUCCCUGUGGGACCACCUGUGGCGAAGGCGUCUUACCAGAACGGGUUCGACGGUGAGGGACGAAAGCUGGGGGCACGAACCGGAUUAGAUACCCGGGUAGUCCCAGCCGUAAACGAUGCUCGCUAGGUGUCAGGCAUGGCGCGACCGUGUCUGGUGCCGCAGGGAAGCCGUGAAGCGAGCCACCUGGGAAGUACGGCCGCAAGGCUGAAACUUAA
Molecule: ribosomal RNA, 837 nt
Filed under: uncultured archaeon
Lineage: Archaea
Description: bacterial SSU rRNA
Rfam family: Archaeal small subunit ribosomal RNA
Source: RNAcentral